GGCGGAGGGAAGGGGAGCUUGUUUUCAUCUACUUUACAGACUUCAAAGAUUCUCAUUGCAAACGGUCUGAAGAGUGUUCAGGAAUAUAUCUUUUGGAAAACAGUGUACCUGUCAGAAUGGAUAAGUUAACAGCUGUCAGUGUCAUGGAUGAAUUGCAGCGCGAAUUCUGACUGAACGGAUAUAGACCGGAAAAUAAAGAGAAAAAAUGCAGUCACCCAGGAGACACACCAAAUGGUGAUUUUAAACUUAUGUCAGGAUCAGAGUUUGAUUUUGGAGCAACAGUGUUGUACACUUGCAAGAAAGGAUUUGAAAUGACAAGCAGAAUCAAUCAGCGUACCUGCAGAGCUCAAGGAUGGGAUAAUACUGUCCCUGUCUGUGAGGCUGUGAAAUGUCCAGCCAUUCGCACAAAUGCGUUUGUGAAUGCAUCAGGCAACACAGAAGAGGGAAGUUAUGGUGAUGUUAUCCACUUUGAGUGUGUAUCUUCUGACAAAAAGAUAGACGGAAGUAGUGACAUUCACUGCACAGAGACGGGCGAAUGGAGUGACUCUGUUCCAACAUGCAAAGGUUCAUUC
Megalobrama amblycephala (Wuchang bream) is the source of this 572-nucleotide long non-coding RNA. RefSeq lists it as uncharacterized. Lineage: Eukaryota; Metazoa; Chordata; Actinopteri; Cypriniformes; Xenocyprididae. The record is from RefSeq and is a predicted model, not a curated record. The transcript is spliced from 5 exons.